This 75-nucleotide transfer RNA is filed under the name Kroppenstedtia guangzhouensis. RNAcentral describes it as "tRNA-Trp". It matches the Rfam family "tRNA". From Rfam's summary of the family: Transfer RNA (tRNA) molecules are approximately 80 nucleotides in length. Their secondary structure includes four short double-helical elements and three loops (D, anti-codon, and T loops). The record is from RNAcentral. Lineage: Bacteria; Bacillati; Bacillota; Bacilli; Caryophanales; Thermoactinomycetaceae.
GGAGCGGUAGUUUAAACGGCAAAACACCGGUCUCCAAAACCGGAAAUCCAGGUUCAAGCCCUGGUCGCUCUGCCA